AUCAUUUCUCGACCUUUUGGCUAAGAUCAAAUGUGUAUCUGUUUUUAUCAGCUUAAUAUCCAAUAUAUCCUCUAUCUGAGGACAAUAUAUUAAAUAGAUUUUAGAUAUGGAAGAUGGGAUUGGAGUUUGAUCCACCUAUUUCAUGUGUGGACCUAGUGUCACAGAAUCUCGAUAAAUGGUACACCCCCU
RNAcentral lists this small nuclear RNA (189 nucleotides) under Neotoma lepida (desert woodrat). RNAcentral's name for it is "U2 spliceosomal RNA". It matches the Rfam family "U2 spliceosomal RNA". Rfam says of the family: U2 is a small nuclear RNA (snRNA) component of the spliceosome (involved in pre-mRNA splicing). Complementary binding between U2 snRNA (in an area lying towards the 5' end but 3' to hairpin I) and the branchpoint sequence (BPS) of the intron results the bulging out of an unpaired adenosine, on the BPS, which initiates a nucleophilic attack at the intronic 5' splice site, thus starting the first of two transesterification reactions that mediate splicing. The record is from Rfam by way of RNAcentral. Lineage: Eukaryota; Metazoa; Chordata; Mammalia; Rodentia; Cricetidae.